Molecule: long non-coding RNA, 519 nt
Filed under: Zonotrichia albicollis (white-throated sparrow)
Lineage: Eukaryota; Metazoa; Chordata; Aves; Passeriformes; Passerellidae
Description: lncRNA (ENSZALG00000005780.1)
Source: RNAcentral
CUUUCUUAGGGCACCUCAUACCACUCUGACCCCUCUGUUCCACAAGCACCUUUUGUGUCUCUCUCUGUCCCUUGCACAGCUGGGAUUUGUGUUGGGAUUCUGCCACAGAGUCCUGGAAUGGUUUGGGUUGGAAAGGGCCUUAAAGAUCAUUUAAUUACAACUCCUCUGCCCUGGGCAGGGAUGCAUUCACUGGAACAAACCUUGCUCUGAUGUUGAUUUUGAGACUGGGUUUGAAAACAUCUGGGAACUUGCAGACAGUGCUUACUCCUACAGCUGGCAGCACUUGAAAUCUUCAGAGUUUCUCUCCAGAGGAGCAGAUAAAAGGAAAGAAGGCGUUUUUUAUUCAUUGCCACAAGGACUAGAAAGUUAUUUGUUAUAGCAGCUGAUAUUUUUGCCUCAUGAUUUACUUCAGAGCUACACAUUUAGCUUUACUUGGAUUUUAUAUGAUUGUUGCACCACAGACUUUUCAGUGGAAGCAGAGUGCAUUUCAUGCUGAAGUUGGAAGACAGCCUGUAAACA